UCAGCUUCAAGCCUUUUGCAGAAUCGACACUUAAGGGUAAUACCGUUUGUACCGAUCCCUUACCAAAAGACUCGGUUCCCAUCAAAACCGCACGAUUAUGAUCCUGCAAAGCGCCGGCAACAAUUUCUGAAGCUGAGGCAGAACCACCAUUGAUUAAGACAACCAGUGGAACCCCCUGUGAAGGAUCAUCAGCGGUGGCGUUAAAUCGUAGCUCAGAGUUUGGGAUACGCCCUUCGGUGUAAACAAUUAAGCCUUCGCUGAUGAAAGCAUCGGUAACACCAACCGCAGCCUGAAGAACACCACCAGGGUUGUUGCGAAG
RNAcentral lists this non-coding RNA (319 nucleotides) under Endozoicomonas elysicola. RNAcentral describes it as "Rickettsia sRNA47". It matches the Rfam family "Rickettsia sRNA47". Lineage: Bacteria; Pseudomonadati; Pseudomonadota; Gammaproteobacteria; Oceanospirillales; Endozoicomonadaceae. The record is from Rfam by way of RNAcentral.